This 1372-nucleotide ribosomal RNA is filed under the name uncultured bacterium. Its description in RNAcentral is "bacterial SSU rRNA". It matches the Rfam family "Bacterial small subunit ribosomal RNA", at positions 28 to 1381 of the family's 1533-position model. The record is from RNAcentral.
GAUGAACGCUGGCGGCGUGCCUAAUACAUGCAAGUCGAGCGAACGGACGAGAAGCUUGCUUCUCUGAUGUUAGCGGCGGACGGGUGAGUAACACGUGGAUAACCUACCUAUAAGACUGGGAUAACUUCGGGAAACCGGAGCUAAUACCGGAUAAUAUUUUGAACCGCAUGGUUCAAAAGUGAAAGACGGUCUUGCUGUCACUUAUAGAUGGAUCCGCGCUGCAUUAGCUAGUUGGUAAGGUAACGGCUUACCAAGGCAACGAUGCAUAGCCGACCUGAGAGGGUGAUCGGCCACACUGGAACUGGGACACGGUCCAGACUCCUACGGGAGGCAGCAGUAGGGAAUCUUCCGCAAUGGGCGAAAGCCUGACGGAGCAACGCCGCGUGAGUGAUGAAGGUCUUCGGAUCGUAAAACUCUGUUAUUAGGGAAGAACAUAUGUGUAAGUAACUGUGCACAUCUUGACGGUACCUAAUCAGAAAGCCACGGCUAACUACGUGCCAGCAGCCGCGGUAAUACGUAGGUGGCAAGCGUUAUCCGGAAUUAUUGGGCGUAAAGCGCGCGUAGGCGGUUUUUUAAGUCUGAUGUGAAAGCCCACGGCUCAACCGUGGAGGGUCAUUGGAAACUGGAAAACUUGAGUGCAGAAGAGGAAAGUGGAAUUCCAUGUGUAGCGGUGAAAUGCGCAGAGAUAUGGAGGAACACCAGUGGCGAAGGCGACUUUCUGGUCUGUAACUGACGCUGAUGUGCGAAAGCGUGGGGAUCAAACAGGAUUAGAUACCCUGGUAGUCCACGCCGUAAACGAUGAGUGCUAAGUGUUAGGGGGUUUCCGCCCCUUAGUGCUGCAGCUAACGCAUUAAGCACUCCGCCUGGGGAGUACGACCGCAAGGUUGAAACUCAAAGGAAUUGACGGGGACCCGCACAAGCGGUGGAGCAUGUGGUUUAAUUCGAAGCAACGCGAAGAACCUUACCAAAUCUUGACAUCCUUUGACAACUCUAGAGAUAGAGCCUUCCCCUUCGGGGGACAAAGUGACAGGUGGUGCAUGGUUGUCGUCAGCUCGUGUCGUGAGAUGUUGGGUUAAGUCCCGCAACGAGCGCAACCCUUAAGCUUAGUUGCCAUCAUUAAGUUGGGCACUCUAAGUUGACUGCCGGUGACAAACCGGAGGAAGGUGGGGAUGACGUCGAAUCAUCAUGCCCCUUAUGAUUUGGGCUACACACGUGCUACAAUGGACAAUACAAAGGGCAGCGAAACCGCGAGGUCAAGCAAAUCCCAUAAAGUUGUUCUCAGUUCGGAUUGUAGUCUGCAACUCGACUACAUGAAGCUGGAAUCGCUAGUAAUCGUAGAUCAGCAUGCUACGGUGAAUACGUUCCCGGGUCU